Molecule: non-coding RNA, 1497 nt
Organism: Cyanistes caeruleus (blue tit)
Lineage: Eukaryota; Metazoa; Chordata; Aves; Passeriformes; Paridae
Source: RefSeq, a predicted model, not a curated record
UUUCCCCCUCCUUCUCUUUACGAUGUGCUGGAGGGAGGGAAGGAGAGAGGGGGGCUGGAGGGCAGCUCACAUUCAAAGCUUGAAAGGAAAGGCUUAAGGAGAGUGACAGCCCCCCGAGGAGCCCCUCCUCCCGUUAAGGCGGCGCGGCGGCCGGGCCGGAGGCGCUGCGGGAGCGGCCGCGCCGGGCUUCAGGCGUGCUACCCUCGCUGGUCCUGCUCCCUACGACGAGGAGGGGAAAAACGAGUUCUCUAGCUCGAGUGACGCGUGUUCCCAAACUUCCCAGUGAUUCAAGUGAGGGCAGAGCUGCUACCAGAACGGUAGGGAGGAUUAGGCUCAAAAUGGGACCGACUUUGUUCUUUCUGAAAUAGAAAGGGAGGUCCUGGUUUCAGUGUGCUGGUACUCUCCGGGAGUGCAAAGCUAACUGCUAGUGGUGUAGUGCGACCGUGUACUUCUCUGCCGUACUUUCAGUAUUGCAGCUUUCCACUUGCCGCAUACCCCACCGAUUUUAAAGUCAUUCAGCUCAGCUUCUCGCCUGCAAUUCUUGUGCACGGUUUUGAUACACUGACUUACGAGGGUGCCUGUUGGCUGUAGAUCCCGGUAUAGUUCUUCGAUACUUUGAUACUUGAUCUGCCAUCUUGUAAAAUGUUUUUAAAAAGCUGUUUAGAGUUUUAAUUUAAUUCAAAAUCCCUUGCUGAAGUUCUGCCUUCUUGUUACACUUUCAAUUUAUAAGGAAAUAGAAACAAAAAUAUUAAGGCACAAGGAGAAGAGCGCAACGAAGGAAAAUGCCCCACGGUGCCGUUGGAGGGAAGAGGGCCGGGAUGCCAGGAUGUUCCAGGCAUAAGAGAGUCUGAGAGGGGGGAUUGCAAUGGAGCAGGAUCAUGGCUUGGGGCCUCCUGAGCUUCCUCAGCCCGGGAGAGAGGAGUCCCAGUGGGGCUGCCUUCUACAGAUAACUGGGUGAUGAGCUCUGCCCCCUCCCAGCUCCUGCCUUCAUUUGCAAAAUCCAUCCAGCUCGGCUGUGCUUCAUUUCUUGAACAGAAGGCAGGCUGUUUACUACUCUGUGAGGAAAGGCAGCAGCUGAACUUCGGGCCUCCCAGGAGGGGGAGUAAAGGAGCCUUCACUCUGGCCUUGCAUCGUUGUGUGGCUGGGAAGAAUCUGCUGUACUGCGGCAGGAGCAGGAAGAGGAUCAAUGCUUGGUCCCACUGACGGUGCUGACGGACUUCCCUGGCUGGAAUGGGAAGAUGGGGCAUGGCAUGAAACAUCACGUUAUUCAUAGGUAGAAAUUUUCACACACAGCUUUUAGUUAAAUAAAUGAAUAUUUUGUACCAUUUGAUAAUGGAAAUGUUGGUUUUGAAGUUUUGGUAUCAUACAGCUGGCAAAAAAUUUAACAGAAAAUAGGUGGAUUCGCCAAUUACCACACCUUAUAGCUGUCUAGAAUAUAAUCAUCUACAUUCACAAUUAUAUAUUGUCAAUAAAUUAACUUCCUAAAAUGGUUUAAAA